AAGUUCCUACUGUAUUUGUAGAAUGAGUAUAUAUUGACCCAACACUUAUAGAAAAGGGAAUCUGACUCUUUUUGUGAAAUGAAGCUUUAAUAGCAAUUAAAGAACAGGAAACAAAAAGGAGAUACCCACCUGUUGAUGAACAGGUUCAACUAUAACUUAUUCUACGGUAUGGUAGGGGUUUA
RNAcentral lists this non-coding RNA (182 nucleotides) under Clostridium aestuarii. RNAcentral's name for it is "6S RNA". It matches the Rfam family "6S / SsrS RNA". Rfam says of the family: E. coli 6S RNA was the first non coding RNA to be sequenced, but its function was unknown until recently. It consists of 184 nucleotides that fold into an extended hairpin structure with a large single-stranded internal bulge. Lineage: Bacteria; Bacillati; Bacillota; Clostridia; Eubacteriales; Clostridiaceae. The record is from RNAcentral.